UGCCUCCUAUCCUCCCUCUCUUCCUUUCUACAUCCAAAAGUUGGGUGCCCCCUCUUCCACAUGCCAAGAAACAAUGUUGGUGACUUAGAGAUUGAAGAUCGAGGAGAAGAAGAAGAAGAAGGUUGCUGAUCAAGGAGUUGAUCUUGCAGUCCAGAUUAAGGUAUUGAUCUGAGUGCUUAAGGUUAAGGUUCUUUCUGGAAAGAAGAAUCUUCUACGAGAAGAAAUCAGAUCGAGAUCGAUCUCGGUGGAUACCCAUAGAGGCCGGAUACGUGUGCGGCUCAAGCAUUUACGAAUCUGAGAUCAUCAGAAGUGGUGAAUAUCUAUCCACCAAGAUAAUAAGAUCUGAUCUCAUAUGUAUUUCUAAAUUUUAGAUUCUAGAUAUGUGCUUUUCUGGGUUUGGGUAGGUUUAGAUUUGAUCUCUUGUAUGUGGGGUUAAGGGUUUAACCCAUUUUAUUUUUCGCUGCCUAUUUUUAAAGUUUUGAAAUCUACACAUACUCCCUACCCGAUUUUCUAAUAGAUAUCUCUAGACUAGCUUGUAUCAAGUACUCUUCA
Molecule: long non-coding RNA, 552 nt
Filed under: Elaeis guineensis (African oil palm)
Lineage: Eukaryota; Viridiplantae; Streptophyta; Magnoliopsida; Arecales; Arecaceae
Description: long non-coding RNA (EGUI_LNC039919)
Source: RNAcentral